RNAcentral lists this ribosomal RNA (497 nucleotides) under uncultured bacterium. Its description in RNAcentral is "partial 16S ribosomal RNA". It matches the Rfam family "Bacterial small subunit ribosomal RNA", at positions 28 to 507 of the family's 1533-position model. The record is from RNAcentral.
GAUGAACGCUGGCGGCGUGCCUAAUACAUGCAAGUCGAGCGAACAGACGAGGAGCUUGCUCCUCUGACGUUAGCGGCGGACGGGUGAGUAACACGUGGAUAACCUACCUAUAAGACUGGGAUAACUUCGGGAAACCGGAGCUAAUACCGGAUAACAUGUUGAACCGCAUGGUUCAACAGUGAAAGACGGUUUUGCUGUCACUUAUAGAUGGUUCCGCGCCGCAUUAGCUAGUUGGUAAGGUAACGGCUUACCAAGGCAACGAUGCGUAGCCGACCUGAGAGGGUGAUCGGCCACACUGGAACGGAGACACGGUCCAGACGCCUACGGGAGGCAGCAGUAGGGAAUCUUCCGCAAUGGGCGAAAGCCUGACGGAGCAACGCCACGUGAGUGAAGAAGGUCUUCGGAUCGUAAAACUCUGUUAUUAGGGAAGAACAAAUGUGUAAGUAACUAUGCACGUCUUGACGGUACCUAAUCAGAAAGCCACGGCUAACUACGUG